ACCCUCUUUAUUCUUUAUUUACUACUUGUUUUGAGUUCUAUGGGCGAUUAAUUGAAUUCUUGGAGUAAGGGUAAAAUUGUUGAUAGUGGAAGACGUUCAAAGGCGAAAGCGAUGAUCGACGUAGAUCUGACACUAGGUACUAAAGUAUGGGUAUAAAGAGGAUUAGAGACCUCGUAGUCCAUACCUUAAACCAUGAGUGUUAACGUCCUUUGAUAAGCAUGUAGGAAUUCAUGCAGGAAUCUAAGGGGGUUUGAAGUUAACGCGCGAAACACUA
This 274-nucleotide ribosomal RNA is filed under the name Fuligo intermedia. Its description in RNAcentral is "partial small subunit ribosomal RNA". It matches the Rfam family "Bacterial small subunit ribosomal RNA", at positions 612 to 869 of the family's 1533-position model. Lineage: Eukaryota; Evosea; Eumycetozoa; Physariida; Physaraceae. The record is from RNAcentral.